Long non-coding RNA from Ictalurus punctatus (channel catfish), 3309 nucleotides. Lineage: Eukaryota; Metazoa; Chordata; Actinopteri; Siluriformes; Ictaluridae. The record is from Ensembl.
AAGGUUUCCGCUUCUAAUGAAACUUCUUUGAGUGUUUAGAAAGUCGAUGUCUGCUCAAAAGUGCUGAAAAACUCCAUCGUGACUCUUAUCGUCAUAUUGCACAGCUAAGCCCCCCUGUCUCUCUCUCUCUCUUUCUCUCUGUCUGUCUCUCCAUCUCCCUGCCGGCUUUGUAGUGUGGAUGCAGACGUAAUCCUCAAACACACUCAAAUUCCUCCAGAAAGACUCUUGAUCCUGAAGCCACUCGCUUUUCCUUUAAACAGCUCGGCUCUGAAGCUCCGCCAUAUUUCCGAAGCGUUUAUGAUCGAAAGCUUCUACAAGCGGGUCGUCCACCCCUCCUGUCUCCCAAAGCCGGGCCGGAUCUGCGGAAAAGGUGGGAGCUCUCAUUAAAAGCCGGGUCCCGCCUCCUCCUUGCUCGACUUUAAAGUUUGUUACACUGGUGCCGAAACCCGGGAAGGAGGAGGAACGCGUUGUAAGAAAGCUCUUUCCACUGUGGAAGGAUUGAAACACUGAGGAGGCAGUGGUGCUGGAGUGGUUGCUGAGGAGGAGUCGAUGCCGUCUGCGGGGACGCGGAGGAACCCCCUACUGUCCGCCUGAAAGGGGAGGAGUGGUUGCUGUCUGCCAGGGGAUGGAGGACCCGCUGCUGUCCCCCGGGGAAGCGGAGAUGUGGCUGCCGUCUUCCUGAAAAGGGGAGGAGCCAUAGCCGUCCAUCAGGGAGGUGGAGGUGUGGCUGCCAUCCCCCAGAAUAGGGGAGGAACCGCGGCCUCCCGCUUGUAAGUCCAGUGCCAUCACCUGGCAUCGUGGGGGACUGAGAACAGGAAUGUUUUUCUCUCUCUCUCCUCUCUUUCUCUCUGGCUCUCUCUCUCUGGCUUGCUUCUUAUCUCUCCCCUCUUACCCCUCUUCGUCUCUCCUCUCAUUUGCAGGCAAAGGGGCCGGCCGUUCAAAAGACGUAGCCGAGAGGGCAACACCGCCCUCCUGAAAGGGUGGGAGGGGGUGUGCGUCAGGCCGGGCGCAUAAAUCUGGUGGUGGAGGAGUGUGAUGAGGAGGAGGGAGAAACCAUGUUAUGAGGAUGCAUACCUGGCACUGAUUUGGCUAAUCGGUCCGAGAGAGAGAUAAAGGAGCGGCUGGAAGCGCCGGUGAGAGAGAGAGAGAGAGAGAGAGAGAGAGAGAGAGAGAGAUGCAUGUGCAUUUUGUGUUCUGUUUGUGUUUCUGUUAUGUUUGAGUUCUGUUUAGGAUUAACGUUUAUGUUUAUGUUCAGCUGGUCCGUGCCUCCUCCUUGCCCGGCUCUAAAGUGUAUUACACACCCCUAGUAAGAAAAGCUAACAGGAACACAGGUUUCAAAUACAAUGUAUCUAGUCCACUAACGCCAACCCUUGUUUUAAGUCUCUUGCAGAACGGGACAUGUUUUCUUAUAGAAUUACCCUGUAUGUGGCAUCCAUAUUGCCCUCAUAGUUUACCAGUUUGCCCUGCUGAUAAAAAAGCAUCCCCACAACAUGAUGAUACCACCACCAUGCUUCACUGGGGAUGGUGUUCUCAUGGUGAUGAUUGGUCUUGGGUUUCCCCCAAACCUAACACUUUGUGCCAAAGAUAAAAAUGUUCAAUUUUCCAAUUAUUUCCUGAAUUUAAAAUGCCCAGUGGCUUUCUUCCCACCACUCUUCCAUAGCUUUGUGGCGUGUCUGUGGCCUGGGUUACAGUUAUCCUCUGAACAGCUUCUCCCAUCUUAACUGUGAAUCUCUCCAGUUCCUUCAGAGUUACCCUGCUUGCUUCUCUGAACAAUUUAAGAUCUUCUAUGUGCAGGUGUGUCAAAACUAUUGCGUGUUACUGUCCAAAUCUUGGCAUUAUGCACAGUGUGACAUUCAUUAGUAAAUCACGGUCUUCUUCAGACAACUAAUAAUGUUACAUUUGCUUCUUAUUUUUGUUAAUUACUACAUUGAGUGAUCAUGUCUGGUCAGAGAAACAAGCUUGGGUAUUUGGGGGAAUGGAGUUUUUAGUACCAGCCCUCGUUCUUUUUUUUUUUUUCAGGAAAGCGGAUCCCCCAUAUGUACACCAAUAAAAGUGAGUGACUUAGGAGGAGUGUCUAUCAUAGAGUGGAGGCAAACCUGAGACAGAUAGAGAGAUAGUGAGGGUGUGAGAGCUCACUAAUAGGCCCUCGACAAGAUGCCAGCCCGUUUUUCACAUCAUGUCAUCUGUAAGGGUUGAAAUAAAAGUAAUGGCCAGAUCCCUCUCUGCCAUUACAGCUCCGGCAGUUCAGCAUUUAUUUGUGUUGACUGGUGCGGGCUUGGCGGCGUGACAGAAUCAUAGAUCCGAGAUCAGACACCGCCAUGAUGUUCAGCGCUGUUCAGGCACUGACAGGUCCCCCGCUCGCCUCCUCAUCUCAUAGCGGGAGCGUUAGCGGCUAACGCUGCGUCAUAUCAAAUGCAGCCAUCUGACACGAUAACGGAUCUGGCACACCGCAGACGUGACCCAGUCUGUCUUUUGUAAUCGGCUGACAGAUAGAAGCUCUGAAAUAAGAAGGCUUCUUCAGUUUCAUGUAGUAAAAAUUAGUGUCAGUCAAAGUUAAGUGCCUGUUUUUGACCAGAGAGAGGAAAGAUGAGGGAGUUUACUGUCAGUGUUAUUCACGUACCAGGCUAGUAAACUAAGUGGAAAUGAUUUAUAAGGGGAAAAAAGGAUUUUAAAUUGGCCAUUUUAUUUUCUCGGAAGGCUCAGCCUUAAAUGUACUUUUCAGCUCUCAGUCUAUUUGCACUAUUGUUUAAGCUGCACUGCCUGAUAUGAAAGACUGUUUUGUCCACUUUUACUGGUGUAGCAAAAUAAUAAAAAUAGUACUUCUCAUGUGUAAGACUGUCACUGUUAAUAUUUGAUGUUCAAGCGUUUUAACUUCUUAGUACAGAGCCAAGCUACUGAUGAGUAUAUUGGGCUAGUAGCACCACCGGCAACACUAUUAGCUAACUUUACUAGCUGGUUUACUUUAACUACAGUAGCUACAUGUUCUAGCAGUAAUAUGGCAUGGAAGGCGUGGAAGCUUGAAAUGAGGGGAAUUGUCCUAUUGGCCGAGUAUUGUUGUAUAUUUGAAAUCCAUCCAUUGUGGUGGCUGCAUUUUGUCCGUAUGUUACAAAUAAGACAAAUGACUCGAGGAGACUACUGACUGCUAACAAGACCAAGUGGAUUAUGAGAACAAGUUGCUUGAUUAGAUACAGUAUUAGUAGUAUUUACUGUAUAUCACAGCGUUAAAUUAUUUGAUCGGUCAGAAGGUGUUGAUAUAUAUAUAUAUAUACAUAUAUAAAAAUAUAUAACAGCAGCUCUGACAGUAGUUCC